AACAAAGAAGACACAAAAUAGUACAGUAUAUCACAAUAGCAUAUAUCACAAUAGCAGUAAACAGAACUAAUCAAUAAUCAAUUAAUCAUUCAAUAAUCCAUAUAAUUGCUGAACAAAAAAUAAAACAAAAA
Arachis ipaensis is the source of this 131-nucleotide non-coding RNA. Lineage: Eukaryota; Viridiplantae; Streptophyta; Magnoliopsida; Fabales; Fabaceae. The record is from RefSeq and is a predicted model, not a curated record.